This is a long non-coding RNA of Mercenaria mercenaria, 503 nucleotides long. RefSeq lists it as uncharacterized. The transcript is spliced from 3 exons. The record is from RefSeq and is a predicted model, not a curated record. Lineage: Eukaryota; Metazoa; Mollusca; Bivalvia; Venerida; Veneridae.
AAGCUUGUCUAAGCCCCAAGUGUCUGUGCAUUUAUCUAGCACAUGACAGUGUGGUGUUUUUGGAGAUUUUAUUUUUAAUAUUUUUGUGUUUCUUACAGAAAAAUAUUACUCAGUUGCACUAGUGUAGACUAUAUCCUGACAUUUCCCAUUCAUGAAGUUUCUUAUCUGGUGAACUAGGAAUUUAUCUUGUCUUCAAAAAUUGGCUACAUUACAGUAGUGUAACGGCAGGAUUCAAUCAUGGCAGAGAGGUUCGCUUUCAACGACUUAGCAAUUCAUCAUGUUGAUCCCUGCCUGCCCGUGGGUUUAGGUGAGUCGACUAAGACUUUAUAUUUAUUGGCGUCAAUGAUAUAAUUUCAUAAAAAUAUAAAGUAGUAAAUUUUGAUUGUAUUAAUUAAUUCCAAACAGAUGGAAUUGUAUAUUUAAAAAAGAUGUUCGCCUAAGUUUGCAGCAUGGAACAUUCUGCAAUUUCAAAUUUUUUGUCUUGCAUAUGUCCAAAGACAUAA